GACGAACGCUGGCGGCGUGCUUAACACAUGCAAGUCGAACGGACAGGCCCUGCUUUUGUGGGGUGCUCGAGUGGCGAACGGGUGAGUAACACGUGAGUAACCUGCCCUUGACUUUGGGAUAACUUCAGGAAACUGGGGCUAAUACCGGAUAGGAGCUCCUGCUGCAUGGUGGGGGUUGGAAAGUUUCGGCGGUUGGGGAUGGACUCGCGGCUUAUCAGCUUGUUGGUGGGGUAGUGGCUUACCAAGGCUUUGACGGAUAGCCGGCCUGAGAGGGGUACCGGCGACAUGGGGACUGAGAUACGGCCCAGAAUCCUACGGGAGGCAGCAGUGGAGAAUAUGGCACAAUGGGCGGAAGCCUGAUGCAGCAACGCCGCGUGCGGGAUGACGGCCUUCGGGUGGUAAACCGCUUUCGCCUGUGACGAAGAGUGAGUGACGGUAAUGGGUAAAGAAGCACCGGCUAACUACGUG
Molecule: ribosomal RNA, 468 nt
Filed under: uncultured bacterium
Lineage: Bacteria
Description: partial 16S ribosomal RNA
Rfam family: Bacterial small subunit ribosomal RNA
Source: RNAcentral